CAUAUCAAAAAGCGGAGGAAAAGAAACCAACAGGGAUUGCCUUAGUAACGGCGAGUGAAGCGGCAAAAGCUCAAAUUUGAAAUCUGGCACCUUCGGUGUCCGAGUUGUAAUUUGAAGAAGGUAACUUUGGAGUUGGCUCUUGUCUAUGUUCCUUGGAACAGGACGUCACAGAGGGUGAGAAUCCCGUGCGAUGAGAUGCCCAAUUCUAUGUAAAGUGCUUUCGAAGAGUCGAGUUGUUUGGGAAUGCAGCUCUAAGUGGGUGGUAAAUUCCAUCUAAAGCUAAAUAUUGGCGAGAGACCGAUAGCGAACAAGUACAGUGAUGGAAAGAUGAAAAGAACUUUGAAAAGAGAGUGAAAAAGUACGUGAAAUUGUUGAAAGGGAAGGGCUUGAGAUCAGACUUGGUAUUUUGCGAUCCUUUCCUUCUUGGUUGGGUUCCUCGCAGCUUACUGGGCCAGCAUCGGUUUGGAUGGUAGGAUAAUGACUAAGGAAUGUGGCUCUACUUCGGUGGAGUGUUAUAGCCUUGGUUGAUACUGCCUGUCUAGACCGAGGACUGCGUCUUUUGACUAGGAUGUUGGCAUAAUGAUCUUAAGCCACCCGU
RNAcentral lists this ribosomal RNA (598 nucleotides) under Debaryomyces hansenii. RNAcentral's name for it is "eukaryotic LSU rRNA". It matches the Rfam family "Eukaryotic large subunit ribosomal RNA", at positions 39 to 652 of the family's 3401-position model. Lineage: Eukaryota; Fungi; Ascomycota; Pichiomycetes; Serinales; Debaryomycetaceae. The record is from RNAcentral.